UACGUAGGGGGCAAGCGUUGUCCGGAUUUAUUGGGCGUAAAGAGCGUGUAGGCGGCCAUGCAGGUCCGUUGUGAAAACUGGAGGCUUAACCUCCAGACGUCGAUGGAAACCGUAUGGCUAGAGUCCGGAAGAGGAGAGUGGAAUUCCUGGUGUAGCGGUGAAAUGCGCAGAUAUCAGGAAGAACACCCGUGGCGAAGGCGGCUCUCUGGGGCGGUACUGACGCUGAGACGCGAAAGCGUGGGGAGCGAACAGG
RNAcentral lists this ribosomal RNA (253 nucleotides) under uncultured bacterium. RNAcentral describes it as "partial 16S ribosomal RNA". It matches the Rfam family "Bacterial small subunit ribosomal RNA", at positions 524 to 776 of the family's 1533-position model. The record is from RNAcentral.